AAUCAACGCUGGCGGCGUGCCUAACACAUGUAAGUCGCACGAGAAAGGGUCUUCGGAUCUGAGUAAAGUGGCGCACGGGUGAGUAACACGUGAAUUAUCUACCUUCGAGUGGGGAAUAACUUCGGGAAACCGAGGCUAAUACCGCAUAAUAUCUACGGAUCAAAGCAGUAAUGCGCUUGAAGAGGAGUUCGCGGCAGAUUAGUUAGUUGGCGGGGUAAUGGUCCACCAAGACGAUGAUCUGUAUCCGGCCUGAGAGGGCGCACGGACACACUGGAACUGAAACACGGUCCAGACUCCUACGGGAGGCAGCAGUGGGGAAUUUUGCGCAAUGGGGGAAACCCUGACGCAGCAACGCCGCGUGGAGGAUGAAGUCUCUUGGGACGUAAACUCCUUUCGAUAGGGAAGAUUAUGACGGUACCUAUAGAAGAAGCCCCGGCUAACUUCGUGCCAGCCGCCGCCGUAA
RNAcentral lists this ribosomal RNA (463 nucleotides) under uncultured bacterium. Its description in RNAcentral is "partial 16S ribosomal RNA". It matches the Rfam family "Bacterial small subunit ribosomal RNA", at positions 32 to 523 of the family's 1533-position model. The record is from RNAcentral.